RNAcentral lists this ribosomal RNA (490 nucleotides) under uncultured bacterium. Its description in RNAcentral is "partial 16S ribosomal RNA". It matches the Rfam family "Bacterial small subunit ribosomal RNA", at positions 30 to 507 of the family's 1533-position model. The record is from RNAcentral.
AUUGAACGCUGGCGGCAGGCCUAACACAUGCAAGUCGAAUGGUAACAGGAAACCGCUUGCUGUUUCGCUGACGAGUGGCGGACGGGUGAGUAAUGUCUGGGAAACUGCCUGAUGGAGGGGGAUAACUACUGGAAACGGUAGCUAAUACCGCAUAACGUCGCAAGACCAAAGAGGGGGACCUUCGGGCCUCUUGCCAUCAGAUGUGCCCAGAUGGGAUUAGCUAGUAGGUGGGGUAACGGCUCACCUAGGCGACGAUCCCUAGCUGGUCUGAGAGGAUGACCAGCCACACUGGAACUGAGACACGGUCCAGACUCCUACGGGAGGCAGCAGUGGGGAAUAUUGCACAAUGGGCGCAAGCCUGAUGCAGCCAUGCCGCGUGUAUGAAGAAGGCCUUCGGGUUGUAACGUACUUUCAGCGGGGAGGAAGGGAGUAAAGUUAAUACCUUUGCUCAUUGACGUUACCCGCAGAAGAAGCACCGGCUAACUCCGUG